RNAcentral lists this ribosomal RNA (515 nucleotides) under uncultured cyanobacterium. RNAcentral's name for it is "bacterial SSU rRNA". It matches the Rfam family "Bacterial small subunit ribosomal RNA", at positions 367 to 895 of the family's 1533-position model. The record is from RNAcentral. Lineage: Bacteria; Bacillati; Cyanobacteriota.
CGCAAUGGGCGAAAGCCUGACGGAGCAAUACCGCGUGAGGGAGGAAGGCUCUUGGGUUGUAAACCUCUUUUCUCAGGGAAGAACAAAAUGACGGUACCUGAGGAAUAAGCAUCGGCUAACUCCGUGCCAGCAGCCGCGGUAAUACGGAGGAUGCAAGCGUUAUCCGGAAUGAUUGGGCGUAAAGCGUCCGCAGGUGGCUUUGCAAGUCUGCUGUCAAAGCUCAGGGCUUAACCCUGAAUCGGCGGUGGAAACUGAAAGGCUAGAGUGCGGUAGGGGCAGAGGGAAUUCCCAGUGUAGCGGUGAAAUGCGUAGAGAUUGGGAAGAACACCAGUGGCGAAAGCGCUCUGCUAGACCGCAACUGACACUCAUGGACGAAAGCUAGGGGAGCGAAUGGGAUUAGAUACCCCAGUAGUCCUAGCCGUAAACGAUGGAUACUAGGCGUUGAGAGUAUCGACCCUCUCAGUGUCGUAGCUAACGCGUUAAGUAUCCCGCCUGGGGAGUACGCACGCAAGUGU